GACGAACGCUGGCGGCGUGCUUAACACAUGCAAGUCGAACGGAAAGGCCCUGCUUUUGUGGGGUGCUCGAGUGGCGAACGGGUGAGUAACACGUGAGUAACCUGCCCUUGACUUUGGGAUAACUUCAGGAAACUGGGGCUAAUACCGGAUAGGAGCUCCUGCUGCAUGGUGGGGGUUGGAAAGUUUCGGCGGUUGGGGAUGGACUGGCGGCUUAUCAGCUUGUUGGUGGGGUAGUGGCUUACCAAGGCUUUGACGGGUAGCCGGCCUGGGAGGGUGACCGGCCACAUUGGGACUGAGAUACGGCCCAGACUCCUACGGGAGGCAGCAGUGGGGAAUAUUGCACAAUGGGCGGAAGCCUGAUGCAGCAACGCCGCGUGCGGGAUGACGGCCUUCGGGUUGUAAACCGCUUUCGCCUGUGACGAAGCGUGAGUGACGGUAAUGGGUAAAGAAGCACCGGCUAACUACGUG
RNAcentral lists this ribosomal RNA (468 nucleotides) under uncultured bacterium. RNAcentral describes it as "partial 16S ribosomal RNA". It matches the Rfam family "Bacterial small subunit ribosomal RNA", at positions 28 to 507 of the family's 1533-position model. The record is from RNAcentral.